GAUCCUGGCUCAGGACGAACGCUGGCGGCGCGCCUAACACAUGCAAGUCGAACGGAGCUGUUUUCUCUUGAAGUUUUUCGGGAUUGGAAGAGAGUUCAGCUUAGGUGGCGAACGGGUGAGUAACACGUGAGCAACCUGGCCUUUCAGUGGGGGACAACAUUUGGAAACGAAUGCUAAUACCGCAUAAGACCACAGUGUCGCAUGGCACAGGGUCAAAAGGAUUUAUCCGCUGAAAGAUGGGCUCGCG
RNAcentral lists this ribosomal RNA (247 nucleotides) under uncultured bacterium. RNAcentral describes it as "partial 16S ribosomal RNA". It matches the Rfam family "Bacterial small subunit ribosomal RNA", at positions 15 to 235 of the family's 1533-position model. The record is from RNAcentral.